This 21-nucleotide non-coding RNA is filed under the name Caenorhabditis elegans. Lineage: Eukaryota; Metazoa; Nematoda; Chromadorea; Rhabditida; Rhabditidae. The record is from RNAcentral.
UUAGGAUUUGGAAAUGACCGA